AUUGAACGCUGGCGGCAUGCCUUACACAUGCAAGUCGAACGGCAGCACGGGAGCAAUCCUGGUGGCGAGUGGCGAACGGGUGAGUAAUAUAUCGGAACGUGCCCAGUCGUGGGGAUAACGUAGCGAAAGCUACGCUAAUACCGCAUACGAUCUAUGGAUGAAAGCGGGGGAUCGCAAGACCUCGCGCGAUUGGAGCGGCCGAUAUCAGAUUAGGUAGUUGGUGAGGUAAAGGCUCACCAAGCCGACGAUCUGUAGCUGGUCUGAGAGGACGACCAGCCACACUGGGACUGAGACACGGCCUAGACUCCUACGGAGGCAGCAGUGGGGAAUUUUUGGGACAAUGGGCGCAAGCCUGAUCCAGCAAUGCCGCGUGCAGGAUGAAGGCC
Molecule: ribosomal RNA, 386 nt
Filed under: uncultured bacterium
Lineage: Bacteria
Description: bacterial SSU rRNA
Rfam family: Bacterial small subunit ribosomal RNA
Source: RNAcentral